UCACGUCCAUGCAUCUUGAUGUCGAGAUGAUCAAUUUGAAUAUAUUUGAGCAUCAAAACAACCUCUUCUAGUAAAAGUUUUGAGGUAGGUUCAAAUUUGAGCUUCGGCUCUAUAUAAAUUUUUCCCGACAAUAAAUGAUGUAAUAACAUAUAUACCAAAUAAAAUUCAUUUUCUAAGAACUAAACAUGCAAACGAUAAAACGUAAAAGGUCAAAUAAAAUAAAACAAUAAAAGAUGUUUAAACCUAUCUGGUAACCGACAAAUUCCUCAUUAACUUAAACCUACACGACACAAAUCUCAAAAAAAAAAACCCCUAAAUUGUAAAUAUUGUAUGGCAAUUAAAAAAAAAAAGAAGAGAAAAUUUGAGGUUGUCUUUUGUUGGAGACAUUGGACAGCUCCAUAAAUUUUAAAA
This 411-nucleotide long non-coding RNA is filed under the name Amborella trichopoda. Its description in RNAcentral is "long non-coding RNA (ATRI_LNC004552)". Lineage: Eukaryota; Viridiplantae; Streptophyta; Magnoliopsida; Amborellales; Amborellaceae. The record is from RNAcentral.